GCCGGGCAUGGUGGCUCAUGCCUGUAAUCCAAGCACUUUGGGAGGCCAAGAUGGGUGGAUUGCCUGAGGUCAGGAGUUCGAGACCAGCCUGGCCAACAUGGUAAAACCCCAUCUCUA
This is an unclassified non-coding RNA of Papio anubis (olive baboon), 117 nucleotides long. It matches the Rfam family "Metazoan signal recognition particle RNA". From Rfam's summary of the family: The signal recognition particle (SRP) is a universally conserved ribonucleoprotein. It is involved in the co-translational targeting of proteins to membranes. The eukaryotic SRP consists of a 300-nucleotide 7S RNA and six proteins: SRPs 72, 68, 54, 19, 14, and 9. Lineage: Eukaryota; Metazoa; Chordata; Mammalia; Primates; Cercopithecidae. The record is from Ensembl.